This is a long non-coding RNA of Aedes aegypti (yellow fever mosquito), 178 nucleotides long. RefSeq lists it as uncharacterized. Lineage: Eukaryota; Metazoa; Arthropoda; Insecta; Diptera; Culicidae. The transcript has 3 exons. The record is from RefSeq and is a predicted model, not a curated record.
UAAAAUCAACGCUUGGGUUAGCGGUGAUCGUUGACGUUGAUUCAACGCAAACACGUUAACGUUGACGCUAACAACCAUGAAAAUUAACGCAACGACGUUGACGUUGAUCCAGAGCACAAUCAACGUUAACGGCGUUUAUCGUUGAUUAACGUUAACAACCCUGAUUAGGAUUUCUGUU